AUUGAACGCUGGCGGCAUGCCUUACACAUGCAAGUCGAACGGCAGCACGGGAGCAAUCCUGGUGGCGAGUGGCGAACGGGUGAGUAAUAUAUCGGAACGUGCCCAGUCGUGGGGAUAACGUAGCGAAAGCUACGCUAAUACCGCAUACGAUCUAUGGAUGAAAGCGGGGGAUCGCAAGACCUCGCGCGAUUGGAGCGGCCGAUAUCAGAUUAGGUAGUUGGUGAGGUAAAGGCUCACCAAGCCGACGAUCUGUAGCUGGUCUGAGAGGACGACC
This 274-nucleotide ribosomal RNA is filed under the name uncultured bacterium. RNAcentral's name for it is "partial 16S ribosomal RNA". It matches the Rfam family "Bacterial small subunit ribosomal RNA", at positions 30 to 305 of the family's 1533-position model. The record is from RNAcentral.